GGGCCCGUGGUGAACUGGCAUCACACGAUCAUGGCAUGAUUGGGUAAGGGGUUCGAUUCCCCUCGGGUCCA
This 71-nucleotide transfer RNA is filed under the name Candidatus Gottesmanbacteria bacterium RIFCSPHIGHO2_01_FULL_47_48. RNAcentral describes it as "tRNA-Ala". Lineage: Bacteria; Candidatus Gottesmaniibacteriota. The record is from RNAcentral.